Molecule: antisense RNA, 75 nt
Filed under: Streptomyces yokosukanensis
Lineage: Bacteria; Bacillati; Actinomycetota; Actinomycetes; Kitasatosporales; Streptomycetaceae
Description: ASpks TB sRNA
Rfam family: ASpks TB sRNA
Source: Rfam by way of RNAcentral
CUUCACCGAACCCAACAGCAGCGGGCGGCCGUCCGGACGCUCCUGGCCGUAGGUCGCCAGCAGCGCCUGCGCCUC